GCUGGGGAGGAAGGUGCUGGGCAGCUCAGAGCUCAGGCACAUGGAGAUGGGGUCCCAGGCUCAGAUGCUCUUUCUCCUGUUGUUCUGGAUCCCAGAUGCCCGAGGGGCCAUUGUGCUGACCCAGUCUCCAGCCUCCCUGGCUGCAUCUCCAGGAGAGAGAGUCACCAUGUCCUGCAAGGCCAGUCAGGGUAUUAGCAAUUACCUGCACUGGUACCAACAGAAACCAGGCCAGGCCCCUCGGCUCCUCAUUUGGGAUGCAACCACACUGCACUCCGGGGUCCCUGCCCGGUUCAGUGGCAGUGGCUCUGGGACAGAUUUCUCCCUCACAAUCAGCAACAUGGAGGCUGAGGACGCUGCAGUCUAUUACUGUCAGCAAUAUGAUAGCUCUCCGUAUACUUUCGGCGGUGGGACCAAGCUGGAAAUCAAACGAAGCGUGGCUCAGCCAUCUGCCUUCAUCUUCCAGCCAUCUGAAGAGCAGUUGAAAACAGGCACAGCCUCAGUGGUUUGCCUCGCGAACAAUUUCUACCCCAAAAAAGCCACAGUCACGUGGAAGGUCGAUAAUCAGGUGACAAACUCAAACGUCCAGACCGUCUUCACAGAACAGGACAGCAAGGACCAGACGUACAGCCUGAGCAGUACCCUGAACCUCCCUGGGUCUGAAUACAACAACCAUGAGAAGUAUUCCUGUGAGAUCUCUCAUGAAAGCCUGUCCAGUGCCCUAGUGAAGUCCUUCCAGAGGAGCCAGUGUUAGUGAAGGGGCAGCGGGGGCCCUCAAGAGGGAACCUCCUCCACUCCACUCUCACUCCCCCCCCCCUCCAGCCUUUCUUCUUGCUCUCCCAUCUUCCCCACCUGAUGAUAAAAGAUCAUUCUCCAGUCCAAAGGCCUCUGGCCUUAUCCAUUCCCAUCUUCAUCUUUGCCUGCUUUAAUCAUGUCAAUAUUUGAAAGAAAAAAACCAAAUAAAGUUAAUGAAAGAGACCCUG
Non-coding RNA from Sarcophilus harrisii (Tasmanian devil), 980 nucleotides. The record is from the annotation of a RefSeq genome assembly. NCBI's taxonomy places the organism in Eukaryota, Metazoa, Chordata, Mammalia, Dasyuromorphia, Dasyuridae.